ACAAGCAAAUAAUUAAAACUUUUAACAACGGAUCUCUUGGUUCUGGCAUCGAUGAAGAACGCAGCGAAAUGCGAUAAGUAAUGUGAAUUGCAGAAUUCAGUGAAUCAUCGAAUCUUUGAACGCACAUUGCGCUCGCCAGCAUUCUGGCGAGCAUGCCUGUUCGAGCGUCAUUUCAACCC
RNAcentral lists this ribosomal RNA (179 nucleotides) under Colletotrichum acutatum. Its description in RNAcentral is "5.8S ribosomal RNA". The stretch from base 17 to 170 matches the Rfam family "5.8S ribosomal RNA". From Rfam's summary of the family: 5.8S ribosomal RNA (5.8S rRNA) is a component of the large subunit of the eukaryotic ribosome. Lineage: Eukaryota; Fungi; Ascomycota; Sordariomycetes; Glomerellales; Glomerellaceae. The record is from RNAcentral.